Molecule: ribosomal RNA, 560 nt
Filed under: uncultured earthworm cast bacterium
Lineage: Bacteria
Description: bacterial SSU rRNA
Rfam family: Bacterial small subunit ribosomal RNA
Source: RNAcentral
GCCUACACAUGCAAGUCGAGCGGUAGAGAGGUGCUUGCACCUCUUGAGAGCGGCGGACGGGUGAGUAAUACCUAGGAAUCUGCCUGGUAGUGGGGGAUAACGUUCGGAAACGGACGCUAAUACCGCAUACGUCCUACGGGAGAAAGCAGGGGACCUUCGGGCCUUGCGCUAUCAGAUGAGCCUAGGUCGGAUUAGCUAGUUGGUGAGGUAAUGGCUCACCAAGGCUACGAUCCGUAACUGGUCUGAGAGGAUGAUCAGUCACACUGGAACUGAGACACGGUCCAGACUCCUACGGGAGGCAGCAGUGGGGAAUAUUGGACAAUGGGCGAAAGCCUGAUCCAGCCAUGCCGCGUGUGUGAAGAAGGUCUUCGGAUUGUAAAGCACUCUAAGUUGGGAGGAAGGGCAUUAACCUAAUACGUUAGUGUCUUGACGUUACCGACAGAAUAAGCACCGGCUAACUCUGUGCCAGCAGCCGCGGUAAUACAGAGGGUGCAAGCGUUAAUCGGAAUUACUGGGCGUAAAGCGCGCGUAGGUGGUUUGUUAAGUUGAAUGUGAAAUCC